This 178-nucleotide non-coding RNA is filed under the name Sporanaerobacter sp. PP17-6a. The record is from RNAcentral. Lineage: Bacteria; Bacillati; Bacillota; Tissierellia; Tissierellales; Sporanaerobacteraceae. RNAcentral also lists the same sequence under 1 other name.
UAAUUAUAAUAUUAUUUAGGUUCUAUAUUUAUAUAGAUUAAAAGGGAAAGCGGUGAAAAUCCGCUACAGCCCCCGCUACUGUAAACGGUUACGAAUUCCAUAUCCACUGGCGAAAGCUGGGAAGGGGGAAGGAGGCUAAGCCGUAAGUCAGGAUACCUGCCUUAUUAAUAGUGAAAGC